This 292-nucleotide ribosomal RNA is filed under the name uncultured bacterium. RNAcentral's name for it is "partial 16S ribosomal RNA". It matches the Rfam family "Bacterial small subunit ribosomal RNA", at positions 505 to 796 of the family's 1533-position model. The record is from RNAcentral.
GUGUCAGCCGCCGCGGUAAUACAGAGGGGGCAAGCGUUGUUCGGAAUUACUGGGCGUAAAGGGCGCGUAGGCGGCCCGCUAAGUCGAACGUGAAAUCCCCGAGCUCAACUCGGGAACUGCGUCCGAUACUGGUGGGCUUGAAUCCGGGAGAGGGAUGCGGAAUUCCAGGUGUAGCGGUGAAAUGCGUAGAUAUCUGGAGGAACACCGGUGGCGAAGGCGGCAUCCUGGACCGGCAUUGACGCUGAGGCGCGAAAGCUAGGGGAGCAAACGGGAUUAGAUACCCUCGUAGUCC